GUGAGUCAUCGAAUCUUUGAACGCAUAUUGCGCCCUUUGGUAUUCUGAAGGGCAUGCCUGUCCGAGUGUCAUUAUCAACCAUCAAGCUUGGCUUGCUGUUGGACCCUGUAUAUGCUGGCAGUCAGCAAUAACAGGUCUUCAAGGUAGUGGCGGUGUUGUGGUGGACCCCCAGAUACAACGAGCUCUCUACAGCAUGUAUCAAGGUGGCCCGCCGGUCCAGCCUCACUGGAAUCUCAUAUCUCAAGGUUGACCUCGGAUCAGGUAGGAGUACCCGCUGAACUUAAGCAUAUCAAUAAGCGGAGGA
Molecule: unclassified non-coding RNA, 304 nt
Filed under: Herpotrichiellaceae sp.
Lineage: Eukaryota; Fungi; Ascomycota; Eurotiomycetes; Chaetothyriales; Herpotrichiellaceae
Description: partial contains 5.8S ribosomal RNA, internal transcribed spacer 2, and large subunit ribosomal RNA
Rfam family: 5.8S ribosomal RNA (bases 1-71)
Source: RNAcentral